CCUACGGGGGGCAGCAGUUAGGAAUCUUGGACAAUGGGCGAAAGCCUGAUCCAGCCAUGCCGCGUGAGUGAUGAAGGCCUUCGGGUUGUAAAACUCUUUCGACGGGGACGCGGUACCCGUAGAAGAAGCUCCGGCUAACUUCGUGCCAGCAGCCGCGGUAAUACGAAGGGGGCUAGCGUUGUUCGGAAUUACUGGGCGUAAAGCGUGCGCAGGCGGCUAUCCAAGUCAGUGGUGAAAGCCCGGAGCUCAACUCCGGAACUGCCAUUGAAACUGUUUAGCUCGAGUACGAGAGAGGUGAGUGGAAUACCCAGUGUAGAGGUGAAAUUCGUAGAUAUUGGGUAGAACACCGGUGGCGAAGGCGGCUCACUGGCUGUACUGACGCUCAUGCACGACAGCGUGGGGAUCAAACAGGAUUAGAUACCCGUGUAGUC
Molecule: ribosomal RNA, 431 nt
Filed under: uncultured bacterium
Lineage: Bacteria
Description: partial 16S ribosomal RNA
Rfam family: Bacterial small subunit ribosomal RNA
Source: RNAcentral